Molecule: ribosomal RNA, 440 nt
Filed under: uncultured bacterium
Lineage: Bacteria
Description: partial 16S ribosomal RNA
Rfam family: Bacterial small subunit ribosomal RNA
Source: RNAcentral
CUACGGGUGGCUGCAGUCGAGAAUCUUCGGCAAUGGACGAAAGUCUGACCGAGCGACGCCGCGUGCGGGAUGAAGGCCUUCGGGUUGUAAACCGCUGUCAGAGGGGAUGAAAUUUUGACAAAUCCUCAGAGGAAGGACGGGCUAAGUUCGUGCCAGCAGCCGCGGUAAGACGAACCGUCCAAACGUUAUUCGGAAUCACUGGGCUUAAAGGGUGCGUAGGCGGCUUGGUAAGUUGGGUGUGAAAUCCCUCGGCUCAACCGAGGAACUGCGCUCAAAACUACCAAGCUUGAGGGAGUCAGAGGUGAGCGGAACUCAGGGUGGAGCGGUGAAAUGCGUUGAUAUCCUGGGGAACACCGGUUGCGAAAGCUGCUCACUGGGGCUCUACUGACGCUGAGGCACGAAAGCUAGGGGAGCCAACGGGAUUAGAUACCCGCGUAGUC